CGGGCCUCUCCUCCCUCUUCCUCGCCCUGCGGUCCCUCCAUGGCCAUGUGCCUGUCACUUCGUGGGGACUGACACCUCCAUGCUGAGCAGCACACAAGCACAGCAGCUGGGGAGGAGGGCCAGGGCGGCGGAAUGAUGGAUGAGGCUAUAGUGCCUCCCUUCCCCGCUGCGGCUGUGGUGAGGAGAUCUCCCCUCGAAGAAGCCUGAUAUUUUCCAGGAAUUUCCUGAGGGGAGGGGACCAAGCAUUCCAGAAUGAGAGCCAGCUGUGGAGUUGAGGCCUGGGGGUGAGGAGCCGGGCUCUGGGCUUCCUGGCUGAGUCAGCGACCAUCCCCAGCUUUGCUCCCUUGCCUGCAAAGCAGCCAGCCUGAGGGAGGAGCCAGAAGAUGGAUGGAAGGCUGCAGAAGGGGAGAAGCCUCCGGCCGGCCCUGGGGGCUCAGGAAGACAGAGGAGGCCAGGCUGGAUAUUUUAUCUCUUCAGGAUUCCAGAGCACAAGACAAAUGGCCUCAUGUCCGGCAGGGAGGUGUAAUUCAUCCUCUGAGCUUGACGGAGAGAUCAUUGACAAGGGGUCUACAUUUUUAAACCACAAGGAAAAGAAACCCAGAGCUACCAAGAAUAAUAUUUUAUUGACUUGGAACCAGUUUUGGAAUUUAUAUUUUUAACCAACUACCCAGUGAAAACCAUUUCCUCCUCACCAUGGACUCCAUCCAGAGACUGCACCCAUCUCUCCCACGUCAACAGUCCUGUGUCCUUGGCAGAGGACAGUGCUCUCAUUCUGGGCCUUUCCCUUCUUCCUCGGCCAAAGCCUACUCCUGCACCUCCCCACAGCUAAUAAACCGGCUGAGUUCUCCGAUGUGGGGAAAGCC
Molecule: long non-coding RNA, 863 nt
Filed under: Ursus maritimus (polar bear)
Lineage: Eukaryota; Metazoa; Chordata; Mammalia; Carnivora; Ursidae
Description: lncRNA (ENSUMAG00000012058.1)
Source: RNAcentral